GGAUGCGAUCAUACCAGCACUAAAGCACCGGAUCCCAUCAGAACUCCAAAGUUAAGCGUGCUUGGGCGAGAGUAGUACUAGGAUGGGUGACCUCCUGGGAAGUCCUCGUGUUGCAUUCC
Molecule: non-coding RNA, 119 nt
Organism: Triticum aestivum (bread wheat)
Lineage: Eukaryota; Viridiplantae; Streptophyta; Magnoliopsida; Poales; Poaceae
Source: Rfam